Small nucleolar RNA from Telopea speciosissima, 89 nucleotides. RefSeq annotates it as small nucleolar RNA snoR27. The transcript has a single exon. The record is from RefSeq and is a predicted model, not a curated record. NCBI's taxonomy places the organism in Eukaryota, Viridiplantae, Streptophyta, Magnoliopsida, Proteales, Proteaceae.
UCUGGAUCAAUGAUGUUGUCAUAAACUGUGUUAUUUAUCUGCAAUUUCAUAAAUGGAUUGAAGAUGACAGUAAGUUACUGAGAUCCUGG